AUACGGAGGGUGCGAGCGUUAAUCGGAAUUACUGGGCGUAAAGCGCGCGUAGGCGGUUAGAUAAGUCUGAUGUGAAAGCCCUGGGCUCAACCUGGGAAUGGCAUUGGAUACUGUUUAACUAGAGUGCAGGAGAGGAGAGUGGAAUUCUCGGUGUAGCGGUGAAAUGCGUAGAUAUCGGGAGGAACACCAGUGGCGAAGGCGGCUCUCUGGACUGACACUGACGCUGAGGUGCGAAAGCGCGGGUAGCAAACAGGAUUAGAAACCCCAGUAGUCC
RNAcentral lists this ribosomal RNA (274 nucleotides) under uncultured bacterium. Its description in RNAcentral is "partial 16S ribosomal RNA". It matches the Rfam family "Bacterial small subunit ribosomal RNA", at positions 523 to 796 of the family's 1533-position model. The record is from RNAcentral.